Molecule: ribosomal RNA, 2923 nt
Filed under: Klebsiella quasipneumoniae
Lineage: Bacteria; Pseudomonadati; Pseudomonadota; Gammaproteobacteria; Enterobacterales; Enterobacteriaceae
Description: 23S ribosomal RNA
Rfam family: Bacterial large subunit ribosomal RNA
Source: RNAcentral
GGGUUGUGAGGUUAAGCGACUAAGCGUACACGGUGGAUGCCCUGGCAGUCAGAGGCGAUGAAGGACGUGCUAAUCUGCGAAAAGCGUCGGUAAGGUGAUAUGAACCGUUAUAGCCGGCGAUGUCCGAAUGGGGAAACCCAGUGCAAUUCGUUGCACUAUCGUUAACUGAAUACAUAGGUUAACGAGGCGAACCGGGGGAACUGAAACAUCUAAGUACCCCGAGGAAAAGAAAUCAACCGAGAUUCCCCCAGUAGCGGCGAGCGAACGGGGAGCAGCCCAGAGUCUGAAUCAGCUUGUGUGUUAGUGGAACGGUCUGGAAAGUCCGACGGUACAGGGUGAUAGUCCCGUACACCAAAAUGCACAGGCUGUGAACUCGAAGAGUAGGGCGGGACACGUGGUAUCCUGUCUGAAUAUGGGGGACCAUCCUCCAAGGCUAAAUACUCCUGACUGACCGAUAGUGAACCAGUACCGUGAGGGAAAGGCGAAAAGAACCCCGGCGAGGGGAGUGAAAAAGAACCUGAAACCGUGUACGUACAAGCAGUGGGAGCACCUUUAUGGUGUGACUGCGUACCUUUUGUAUAAUGGGUCAGCGACUUAUAUUCUGUAGCAAGGUUAACCGUAUAGGGGAGCCGCAGGGAAACCGAGUCUUAACUGGGCGUUAAGUUGCAGGGUAUAGACCCGAAACCCGGUGAUCUAGCCAUGGGCAGGUUGAAGGUUGGGUAACACUAACUGGAGGACCGAACCGACUAAUGUUGAAAAAUUAGCGGAUGACUUGUGGCUGGGGGUGAAAGGCCAAUCAAACCGGGAGAUAGCUGGUUCUCCCCGAAAGCUAUUUAGGUAGCGCCUCGUGAACUCAUCUUCGGGGGUAGAGCACUGUUUCGGCUAGGGGGUCAUCCCGACUUACCAACCCGAUGCAAACUACGAAUACCGAAGAAUGUUAUCACGGGAGACACACGGCGGGUGCUAACGUCCGUCGUGAAGAGGGAAACAACCCAGACCGCCAGCUAAGGUCCCAAAGUCAUGGUUAAGUGGGAAACGAUGUGGGAAGGCACAGACAGCCAGGAUGUUGGCUUAGAAGCAGCCAUCAUUUAAAGAAAGCGUAAUAGCUCACUGGUCGAGUCGGCCUGCGCGGAAGAUGUAACGGGGCUAAACCAUGCACCGAAGCUGCGGCAGCGACACGAUGUGUUGUUGGGUAGGGGAGCGUUCUGUAAGCCUGCGAAGGUGGCCUGUGAGGGUUGCUGGAGGUAUCAGAAGUGCGAAUGCUGACAUAAGUAACGAUAAAGCGGGUGAAAAGCCCGCUCGCCGGAAGACCAAGGGUUCCUGUCCAACGUUAAUCGGGGCAGGGUGAGUCGACCCCUAAGGCGAGGCCGAAAGGCGUAGUCGAUGGGAAACAGGUUAAUAUUCCUGUACUUGGUGUUACUGCGAAGGGGGGACGGAGAAGGCUAUGUUAGCCGGGCGACGGUUGUCCCGGUUUAAGCAUGUAGGCUGGUUAUCCAGGCAAAUCCGGAUAAUCAAGGCUGAGGUGUGAUGACGAGGUACUACGGUGCUGAAGUAACAAAUGCCCUGCUUCCAGGAAAAGCCUCUAAGCAUCAGGUAACAUCAAAUCGUACCCCAAACCGACACAGGUGGUCAGGUAGAGAAUACCAAGGCGCUUGAGAGAACUCGGGUGAAGGAACUAGGCAAAAUGGUGCCGUAACUUCGGGAGAAGGCACGCUGGUGUGUAGGUGAAGUCCCUGCGGAUGGAGCUGAGACCAGUCGAAGAUACCAGCUGGCUGCAACUGUUUAUUAAAAACACAGCACUGUGCAAACACGAAAGUGGACGUAUACGGUGUGACGCCUGCCCGGUGCCGGAAGGUUAAUUGAUGGGGUUAUCCGUAAGGAGAAGCUCUUGAUCGAAGCCCCGGUAAACGGCGGCCGUAACUAUAACGGUCCUAAGGUAGCGAAAUUCCUUGUCGGGUAAGUUCCGACCUGCACGAAUGGCGUAAUGAUGGCCAGGCUGUCUCCACCCGAGACUCAGUGAAAUUGAACUCGCUGUGAAGAUGCAGUGUACCCGCGGCAAGACGGAAAGACCCCGUGAACCUUUACUAUAGCUUGACACUGAACAUUGAGCCUUGAUGUGUAGGAUAGGUGGGAGGCUUUGAAGCGUGGACGCCAGUCUGCGUGGAGCCAACCUUGAAAUACCACCCUUUAAUGUUUGAUGUUCUAACGUUGGCCCCUAAUCGGGGUUGCGGACAGUGUCUGGUGGGUAGUUUGACUGGGGCGGUCUCCUCCCAAAGCGUAACGGAGGAGCACGAAGGUUAGCUAAUCCUGGUCGGACAUCAGGAGGUUAGUGCAAUGGCAUAAGCUAGCUUGACUGCGAGCGUGACGGCGCGAGCAGGUGCGAAAGCAGGUCAUAGUGAUCCGGUGGUUCUGAAUGGAAGGGCCAUCGCUCAACGGAUAAAAGGUACUCCGGGGAUAACAGGCUGAUACCGCCCAAGAGUUCAUAUCGACGGCGGUGUUUGGCACCUCGAUGUCGGCUCAUCACAUCCUGGGGCUGAAGUAGGUCCCAAGGGUAUGGCUGUUCGCCAUUUAAAGUGGUACGCGAGCUGGGUUUAGAACGUCGUGAGACAGUUCGGUCCCUAUCUGCCGUGGGCGCUGGAGAAUUGAGGGGGGCUGCUCCUAGUACGAGAGGACCGGAGUGGACGCAUCACUGGUGUUCGGGUUGUCAUGCCAAUGGCACUGCCCGGUAGCUAAAUGCGGAAGAGAUAAGUGCUGAAAGCAUCUAAGCACGAAACUUGCCCCGAGAUGAGUUCUCCCUGAGACUUUAAGUCUCCUGAAGGAACGUUGAAGACGACGACGUUGAUAGGCCGGGUGUGUAAGCGCAGCGAUGCGUUGAGCUAACCGGUACUAAUGAACCGUGAGGCUUAACCUUACAACGCCGAAG